Molecule: long non-coding RNA, 1062 nt
Filed under: Gadus morhua (Atlantic cod)
Lineage: Eukaryota; Metazoa; Chordata; Actinopteri; Gadiformes; Gadidae
Description: lncRNA (ENSGMOG00000034895.1)
Source: RNAcentral
AUGGAGCCUGAGACCAGCCACACCCAGACCCACAACGCUGCAGAUCUGAGGGCGUCCGAGGUGGAGGUGCUGAGGUCGCACGUGGUGGACAUCAUCGGAGGGGCGGGCCGCGGGGCCCGUCGGAGCCUGGAGGACCCCGGCAAGGAGCUGCAGGAGGAGGAGGACGACGAAGGAGACGACUCGGUGUUCUACGACGACGGAGUCCCGGCUCCCCGGCCCGGGGAGGAGGAGGAGGAGGAGGAGGAGAAGAAGGAGGCCCGACCUCGACUUUGCGACGCUAGGAAACGCAGAGAGGGGCUGGUCGGGAGCGAGGGGGGAGUGGGGGGGCCGGGGCCUGGAGAGAUUGAUGCUGUUGCUUCAUCCACGCAGAUGGAGCGUCCCCAGGAGACACAACAGGACAUGAUGAAGAGCCGGCUGGAGGAACAUCAAGAACCGCAGCGCAGCCUGGCCACCGGGGACUCCAAGGAUCCCGGCGGUGGAUUCACUGAGGACAAACACACGCCCAAGGCACGCCCUGAACUCUGCACAUCCAUACCAAAAGGAGAUCUAGUGGAUGUGGAGCAGAAGGAGGAGGAGGUGGAGGGAGAAGAUAAGAAGGGGGAGGAGGAGGAGGUUUCAUCCCGUCGGCAGCAGAGAGCGGAGCCUGCAGCUGAGCCGGGGCCCGGCGGCAGAUCGAAGGAGAGACGGGCCCCCACCACCACCACCACCACGGCCGCCGCCGCCGCCAUCGCCGUCCCCGAGCCAGCUGGGGCGGAGAACCUCCCGCAGCAGAUGUCUUCUGAUGAACUCCAGAUCCCGGGAGCGAACCGGGAGGAGCCGGACCAGCUUGAGCAGCCGGACCACAACUCCCAGAGUUCCACGGGACGCCCCCAGGAACCCGGUCCUGGAUAUUCCACCCUGCCUCUUCCUAAGAAAUUGAGUCGCAGCGUCAGCGCCAAACAGGUUGCCUCGGAUGUUGAGGCCUCCGCCCCCAGAUACAACACCCUCUCCUACCGCAAGAUUCAGAGAGGCAACACCCGGCAGAAGAUCAAGGAGUUUGAGUUCAAGGGAAUGAAGCUGUGA